RNAcentral lists this ribosomal RNA (399 nucleotides) under uncultured bacterium. RNAcentral's name for it is "bacterial SSU rRNA". It matches the Rfam family "Bacterial small subunit ribosomal RNA", at positions 358 to 773 of the family's 1533-position model. The record is from RNAcentral.
GGAAUCUUGCACAAUGGGCGAAAGCCUGAUGCAGCAACGCCGCGUGCGGGAUGAAGGCCCUAGGGUUGUAAACCGCUUUCAGCAGGGAAGAAAAUGACGGUACCUGUAGAAGACGGUGCGGCCAACUACGUGCCAGCAGCCGCGGUGAUACGUAGGCACCAAACGUUGUCCGGAUUUAUUGGGCGUAAAGAGCUCGUAGGCGGUUCGGUAAGUCGGGUGUGAAAACUCUGGGCUCAACCCAGAGAGGCCACCCGAUACUGCCAUGACUAGAGUGCGGUAGGGGAGUGGGGAAUUCCUGGUGUAGCGGUGAAAUGCGCAGAUAUCAGGAGGAACACCAGUGGCGAAGGCGCCACUCUGGGCCGUAACUGACGCUGAGGAGCGAAAGCGUGGGUAGCAAAC